RNAcentral lists this ribosomal RNA (1132 nucleotides) under Diarthrophallus quercus. RNAcentral's name for it is "bacterial SSU rRNA". It matches the Rfam family "Eukaryotic small subunit ribosomal RNA", at positions 20 to 1140 of the family's 1831-position model. The record is from RNAcentral. Lineage: Eukaryota; Metazoa; Arthropoda; Arachnida; Mesostigmata; Diarthrophallidae.
GUAGUCAUAUGCUUGUCUCAAAGAUNNAGCCAUGCAUGUCUAAGUGCAAGCCUAUCCUUAUGGUGAAACCGCGAAUGGCUCAUUAAAUCAGUUAUGAUUUACUUGAAUAUGAAAUCACUUGGAUAACUGUGGUAAUUCUAGAGCUAAUACAUGCUAGAUUGCCCUGGGGUUUACGCCACAGGGCAAGCAUUUAUUAGAUUCAAACCCUCCGGUGAGUCUUAACGGACGAACUGGGUAAAAAGGGUGUUGACUCUGAAUAACUAAGCCGAUCGCUUAGGCCAUUGAGCCGGCGACAAUUCAUUCAAGUGUCUGCUCUAUCAACUGUCGAUGGUAGGUUAAACGCCUACCAUGGUUGUAACGGGUGACGGAGAAUCAGGGUUCGAUUCCGGAGAGGGAGCCUGAAAAACGGCUACCACAUCCAAGGAAGGCAGCAGGCGCGCAAAUUACCCAAUCCCAGAAAUGGGGGAGGUAGUGACGAAAAAUAACAAUACGGAACUCUUUUGAGGCUCCGUAAUUGGAAUGAGCACAUUUUAAAUCCCUUAACAAGGACCAAUUGGAGGGAAAGUCUGGUGCCAGCAACCGCGGUAAUACCAGCUCCAAUAGCGUAUAUUACAGUUGUUGCGGUUAAAAAGCUCGUAGUUGAAACCUGGAGUACAGGAGAAUAGUCGCCUUUGGCGGCGCCUCUCUCUGUGCUCAUCCGGGGUGGCUGUCUGUUGUUCUCUUUACCGAGGGCUUCGGGUGGCCACCAUAAAUCACUCUGAUAAAAUUAGAGUGCUCAAAGCAGGCCUUGUGCCUGUAUAUCAAUGCAUGGAAUGAUGGAACACGUUGAUCGUGCCAUUUGUGGUUUUGGAACGAACAAGAUGAUUGAGAGGAACAGUCGGGGGCAUUUGUACUGCGGCGAUAGAGGUGAAAUUCUUGGACCGUCGCAAGACAAACUAAAGCGAAAGCAUUUGCCAAGUAUGUUUUCAUUGAUCAAGAACGAAAGUUAGAGGUUCGAAGGCGAUCAGAUACCGCCCUAGUUCUAACCAUAAACGAUGCCAACCAGCAAUCCGCCUGAGUUGUCUUAUUGACUCGGCGGGCAGCUCCGGGAAACCUAAGUUAGGUUCCGGGGGAAGUAUGGUUGCAAAGCUGA